Lactuca sativa (garden lettuce) is the source of this 1743-nucleotide long non-coding RNA. RefSeq lists it as uncharacterized. The record is from RefSeq and is a predicted model, not a curated record. NCBI's taxonomy places the organism in Eukaryota, Viridiplantae, Streptophyta, Magnoliopsida, Asterales, Asteraceae.
UGGGCCACUAACCGAACUGGGCCAAACAAUUGGCUAUUUUUAGCCCAAAAUAUGAAAUGGACUGGAUUUUUUUUUUUCGCACGCACGCACACAUCAGGGCCCGGCAAUCAGAACCACUCCAUAGUCUCCAUUACGAAGACCUAAUUAAUCUCAUUCCCGUUCAGUCAUUUCAUCCGACUUCCAACGUUUCUUUUUUCUUUCCUAAUUCCGAUUCACUACGAUUCUGCGACAAAGGAGGGCUUGGCUAGGGGCUGUGGUUCUUGAGUCUUGACCUCUGAAUGUAGCUGGAUUAUUUUUGACACACUAGAGUCCAGACACGUAUCAGGUACUUACACGAGUAAGAAUUUCCAACAAUGGAUGUUGUUAAUGUCAUUUUUAAACCAGUUGCCGAGACACUUAUGGAACCUGUUAAGAAACAUAUGUGCUACCUCAUUUCCAGCACAAAAUAUGUGAGGGAUAUGAGUAGAAAAAUGAGGGAGUUGGAUGCUGCAAGACAAGUUGAAGAAGACCAUUUGGACAGGAACAUUAGAACUCGUCUUGAGAUUUCAUAUCAAGUUAAGAGUUGGUUGGAAGAAGUAGAAAAGAUCGAUGCAAAAGUAAAAAACGUUCCUAGUGGUCAAGAGAAAAAACUUUUACUUGAAAGCACUUGAACCAAACAACACAUCCCACAUGAUAGCGUUAUGUGGGAUAGGUGGAGUGGGGAAGACCACAAUGAUGCAAAGACCGAAGAAGGUUGCUAAAGAAAAUAAAAUGUUCAAUUAUAUGGUUGAGGUAGUACUCAAUUGUUAUUCAACAAGCUAUAUCGGAUUAAACUUAUGCAUGGAGAUAAGUCUUUGAGGUUUCCUCAAGACUUUUAUGAAGGAAUGGAAAAGCUCCAGGUUAUAUCAUACAAUAAAAUGAAGUAUCCAAUGCUUCCCUCGUCACCUCAAUACUCCACCAACUUUCGAGUAAUUCAUCUCCAUGAAUGUUCAUUAAGGAUGUUUGUUCUAUUGGAAAUAUGUUGAAUCUAGAAGUGCUAAGUUUUGUUAAUUCUAUGGUUACCUUCCACAGUCAGAAAUUUAAAGAGGCUAAGGCUACUUGAUCUGAGCUAUUGUGGUGGUCCUCGUAUAGGACAGGGUGUCUUCAAAAUUUUGGUCAAACUUGAAGAACUUUAUAUUGGAAAUGCGUCUGAGUUUAUGGAUGAUAACUACAAUGAGAUGAAUCUUAUAGUAACAGCAAACAUUAAUUCGGAAACACGUUGUAGUUGAUGUCAAAUAAAGGUGAAGUAUUGGACUUUAAACUUAAUGAGUUGUUUGUGAAAACAGAUGUGCUUUGUUUAAGUGUGGAUGAUAUGAAUGAUCUUGAAGAUGUGGAGGUGAAGUCAACACAUCCUCCUCAAUCCUGCUAUUCGUUUUGCAAUUUAAGAGUCCUUGUCGUUUUUGGGUUUGAAAGGGUGUAUUGGAAAUUCUUCCAAGAUCUUGGAGAGAGUUAGCUCGAGCAUUGGGGGUCGUUGUAUCUGCCAUGAUGCCAUGAUUGGAGCCUACAUAGGGAGAGUAUCCUCUAUAUGAUUCUCUAAAGAUCUACCUGUCUUAAAAUUCAGGAUCCUAGGUCGCAUGAAUGAAGAUGUAGGUGGUAUGGAUUCAACAUGUAUUCUUAUUUCAAAUUUUAACUUCUCUAUUUGCUCAAGCAGCAUCUUGUUGGUUUUAUGUGGCACCCAUUUUCUUGUUUCGUCUAUAAAAACAUUGAGAAUAUCUCGUUAUUGGA